UAGAGUUUUCAAAACUCCCAAACCCAUGUGAACUUACCUUCAGUUGCCUCGGUGGGAGCCUACCCUGUACCUACCCUGUAACGGGGUUACCCGGGAGCGGCACCACCGGUGGAAUCUUAACUCUUGUUAUAUAACUGUUUCUCUGAGCGUAUUAUUUUAAAUAAGUUA
Molecule: unclassified non-coding RNA, 168 nt
Filed under: uncultured Xylariales
Lineage: Eukaryota; Fungi; Ascomycota; Sordariomycetes; Xylariales
Description: sequence contains ITS1
Source: RNAcentral